RNAcentral lists this ribosomal RNA (471 nucleotides) under uncultured bacterium. Its description in RNAcentral is "bacterial SSU rRNA". It matches the Rfam family "Bacterial small subunit ribosomal RNA", at positions 335 to 799 of the family's 1533-position model. The record is from RNAcentral.
ACUCCUACGGGAGGCAGCAGUGAGGAAUAUUGGACAAUGGGUGAGAGCCUGAUCCAGCCAUCCCGCGUGAAGGACGACGGCCCUAUGGGUUGUAAACUUCUUUUGUACAGGGAUAAACCUUUCCACGUGUGGGAAGCUGAAGGUACUGUACGAAUAAGCACCGGCUAACUCCGUGCCAGCAGCCGCGGUAAUACGGAGGGGUGCAAGCGUUAUCCGGAUUUAUUGGGGUUUAAAGGGGUCCGUAGGCGGAUCUGUAAGUCAGUGGUGAAAUCUCACAGCUUAACUGUGAAACUGCCAUUGAUACUGCAGGUCUUGAGUAAAUUUGAAGUGGCUGGAAUAAGUAGUGUAGCGGUGAAAUGCAUAGAUAUUACUUAGAACACCAAUUGCGAAGGCAGGUCACUAAGAUUUAACUGACGCUGAGGGACGAAAGCGUGGGGAGCGAACAGGAUUAGAUACCCUGGUAGGAUAGCG